Molecule: ribosomal RNA, 293 nt
Filed under: Escherichia coli
Lineage: Bacteria; Pseudomonadati; Pseudomonadota; Gammaproteobacteria; Enterobacterales; Enterobacteriaceae
Description: partial 23S ribosomal RNA
Rfam family: Bacterial large subunit ribosomal RNA
Source: RNAcentral
AGUGGGAGCCUCUUUUAUGGGGUGACUGCGUACCUUUUGUAUAAUGGGUCAGCGACUUAUAUUCUGUAGCAAGGUUAACCGAAUAGGGGAGCCGAAGGGAAACCGAGUCUUAACUGGGCGUUAAGUUGCAGGGUAUAGACCCGAAACCCGGUGAUCUAGCCAUGGGCAGGUUGAAGGUUGGGUAACACUAACUGGAGGACCGAACCGACUAAUGUUGAAAAAUUAGCGGAUGACUUGUGGCUGGGGGUGAAAGGCCAAUCAAACCGGGAGAUAGCUGGUUCUCCCCGAAAGCU